Molecule: small nucleolar RNA, 84 nt
Organism: Homo sapiens (human)
Lineage: Eukaryota; Metazoa; Chordata; Mammalia; Primates; Hominidae
Source: RefSeq, marked provisional
UGCAAAUGAUGGCAGAGGAUGCAGUAAUGAAGCCCGCAUUGCAUGUGGUGACAAGGUCGUUAGUAUAAACCACACUGAUGCACA